CUUCACCGAGCCGAGCCACAACGGCCGGUCCGCCUGGCGGUCCUGCCCGUACGUGGCGAGCAGCGCCUGCGCCUC
Non-coding RNA from Actinobacteria bacterium OK074, 75 nucleotides. It matches the Rfam family "ASpks TB sRNA". NCBI's taxonomy places the organism in Bacteria, Bacillati, Actinomycetota, Actinomycetes. The record is from Rfam.